AAAGUUUUGAGUCCAAAUGAGAGAAAAAAAAGGAUCCUCUUCAAGACCACAUACUUAACUACUGAUAAUGAUGGUGAUGAGUCUGCAUAUAGAAGUCAGAUUGAGCAGUUGGCUUUCUGGUGCAGCCUUAACAACCUGGAGCUGAACACGCUCAAAACAGUGGAGAUGAUCGUGGACUUCAGGAGAAACCCCACUGCACUCUCUCCACUCACCAUCAUGAACAGCACUGUGGCUGUAGUAGAGUCAUUCAGAUUCCUGGGAACCACCAUCUCUCAGGACCUGAAGUGGGACAAUCACAUAGACUCCAUUGUGAAGAAGGUCCAACAGAGAUUGUACUUCCAUCGCCAGCCGAGGAAGUUCAACCUGCCACAGGAGCUGCUCACACAGUUCUUCUCAGCCGUCAUUGAGUCUGUCCUGUGCACUUCUAUAACUGUCUGGUUUGGCUCAGCUACAAAAUCAGACAUUAGAAGACAAAAGUCGACUAUUCGGACUGCUGAAAGGAUUUCUGGUGCUCCCCUGCCCACGCUUCAAGAACUGUAUAUAUCCAGAGUGAGCGAAAGAGCUCAGAAAAUCACUUUGGAUGCCUCACAUCCAAGCCAUCUCCUUUUUUGAAUUUUUACCAUCUGGCCGGUGCUACAGAGCACUGAACACCAGGACAGCCAGGUUAAGAGUGCUUUGUUCUGGUGGCCUUUCUCAGCCCCUGUGGGUUGAUGUGUCAGCGGAUGAAGCCCUCUGGUCUUGACUACAAAGGUCAAAAUCUAACAGGAGGAAAUGGCCUUCAUGUACAUGAGCACAGCUUUGUUCUAGCCUGUGCUAAAAUUAGCACCCAGAACUGGAUACUACAACGCUUAUCUUUACUAUAUUAUACAUGUAAAUUAAU
This is a long non-coding RNA of Cyprinus carpio carpio, 880 nucleotides long. The record is from Ensembl. NCBI's taxonomy places the organism in Eukaryota, Metazoa, Chordata, Actinopteri, Cypriniformes, Cyprinidae.